GGUAAGAUGGCUGAGUGUUAAGCGGUGGUUUGUAGCCCCAUAGACAGAGGUUGAACUCCUCUUUUUACCA
RNAcentral lists this transfer RNA (70 nucleotides) under Pama pama. Its description in RNAcentral is "tRNA-Tyr". It matches the Rfam family "tRNA". From Rfam's summary of the family: Transfer RNA (tRNA) molecules are approximately 80 nucleotides in length. Lineage: Eukaryota; Metazoa; Chordata; Actinopteri; Sciaenidae. The record is from RNAcentral.